Molecule: long non-coding RNA, 1314 nt
Organism: Gadus chalcogrammus (walleye pollock)
Lineage: Eukaryota; Metazoa; Chordata; Actinopteri; Gadiformes; Gadidae
Exons: 4
Source: RefSeq, a predicted model, not a curated record
CACAGGGUCACUUGAGGUGGUGUGUAGCGAGUGAGCCAGCCUCCUCCGUGUGUACUUUGGUUGUCUUUCAUGCAAUCUUCAUUAGCCCUCAUUCAGGCUGGGAAGCAGUGCCUGGCUUUAUCAUCCUAUAGCCCUCCUGUCUAGUGGCUUGAGAUAGCAGUUCAUCUGGUACAUCUCUGUUAUGGUACAGAACACAGGGUCACCGUUUUUAAGCAUGCAUCAAAGAGAACAAAACCAAAAGGAGCUUGCAGUGCCCAGGAAGACCUGUGCAAUGUUCCCAUUGUUUCCAGGGGUUGAUGGUACCAAAGCAUCACAGAGCGUUUGCUCUCCUGCAGCUAAAUGUUGGCAAAAACACAUUGGGGACCAGGGGAACCCUCAUCAGUUCCAAAGGGUCCAUGGUGGACCUCCGGUAGAAUCACUCCUCAUCCAGCCCCCUCUGGUGCCUCGUCCAGCUCAUGCUGCAGCUUACGGAACUUGCCCAGGUGGCAGUUGGCCUGUUCCUCCUGUUUCCACAGGGAUGUAACAGAAGCAAAGCCAACCAGGUUCAUUACAAACCCUUCUAGACAUGUUAAUAGCUUGAACCUUACCUGUAGCAGUCUAGACCGAGCUAUGGCCUGUGAUCAUUGACUAUUGGAAUCACUUUGGGAUAGUAGUAUUCCACAGAACAUUACGUAUUCUAUUACACAUAUAUCAAAAAUAAUAAUAGCAGGCACCCAAGAGGGUCUGGCACACAUUCUACCUGCUACAUACUAAACGUUGUAGAUAGUGGAGCUGAAAGUUUCACACUUACAGCCUCCUCAGAUGUCCUCUUGUAGGCUUUGACCUUCAGCUGCAGCUUGUCUACAAGGUCUUGGAGACGAGUGACGUUCUUGCGAUCCUCAUCAGUCUGAAAAAUGUUGAUAAAUGUAUAUGAAUACAUAUAGUACUUGUGUUCUCUACUCAAAUACUGUACUUCAACAAAUGGGGUCACUCCACUUGAUCGUGAGUAAAUAAAGAGCCAACUCUCCCUGCUGAAGGACAUUUGUAUUAUAAUGGAGUUUCACUUAGAAGUAUUUUUCCAUUAGCGCUUGUAAAAUAAAUGAAUAAAGCACCUGAUAUGUCAGCUCUUUGAUUCGUCUCUCGUAUUUGCGGAUUCCCUUCACUGCUUCACCGCUCUUCUUUUGCUCAGACUCCACCUCGGUCUCCAGCUCCCGUACCUGAGAAUACCAACAAUUACAAUUAAAGCAUCCAUUACAAAUACAUUCAUAGAUUAGGUAUCGCUGUCUAACUACAGCAAAUAAAGCCAUAGCAGCCUACUUCAAAUAUGCAGCCUAC